This 68-nucleotide transfer RNA is filed under the name Triacanthodes anomalus (red spikefish). RNAcentral's name for it is "tRNA-Cys". It matches the Rfam family "tRNA". From Rfam's summary of the family: Transfer RNA (tRNA) molecules are approximately 80 nucleotides in length. Their secondary structure includes four short double-helical elements and three loops (D, anti-codon, and T loops). Lineage: Eukaryota; Metazoa; Chordata; Actinopteri; Tetraodontiformes; Triacanthodidae. The record is from RNAcentral.
AGCUCUGAGGUGUAAUUACAUAUUAGAUUGCAAAUCUAAAGAAGCAGGCUAAUACCCUGCCGGGGCUU